Molecule: ribosomal RNA, 443 nt
Filed under: uncultured bacterium
Lineage: Bacteria
Description: partial 16S ribosomal RNA
Rfam family: Bacterial small subunit ribosomal RNA
Source: RNAcentral
CCUACGGGUGGCAGCAGUGGGGAAUAUUGGGCAAUGGGCGCAAGCCUGACCCAGCAACGCCGCGGGAAGGAAGAAGGCUUUCGGGUUGUAAACUUCUUUUCUCAGGGACGAAGCAAGUGACGGUAACUGAGGAAUAAGCCACGGCUAACGACGUGCCAGCAGCCGCGGUAAUACGUAGGGGGCAAGCGUUAUUCGGAUUUACUGGGUGUAAAGGGCGUGUAGGCGGGACUGCAAGGCAGAUGUGAAAACCACGGGCUCAACCUGUGGCCUGCAUUUGAAACUGUAGUUCUUGAGUACUGGAGAGGCAGACGGAAUUCCUAGUGUAGCGGUGAAAUGCGUAGAUAUUAGGAGGAACACCAGUGGCGAAGGCGGUCUGCUGGACAGCAACUGACGCUGAGGCGCGAAAGCGUGGGGAGCAAACAGGAUUAGAUACCCUUGUAGUC